This is a long non-coding RNA of Astatotilapia calliptera (eastern happy), 1910 nucleotides long. The record is from Ensembl. Lineage: Eukaryota; Metazoa; Chordata; Actinopteri; Cichliformes; Cichlidae.
AUUUUCCUCAACACCUGAGCAGCAACACUUGUGACCUCCACUGACUGGUUGUAGCUGUGGUCCGGUGCACAGAAGAGUGCACCUCUGCUGCAUUUGCAAUAAAAAGCUGACCAACGCAGAAUGAAACUUAAAGGGAAGUUGGUGCCGGAGACAAAGAGAAACCUGUGCAUGGAUCUUCUCUCUUGAUUUGUUGCAGGGAGGCUGCAGGGAGUCACUGAGCUCAAAGGAGUGUGUAGCUACGGCACAACAAGCAGUUUCUUUGAGCCGAAUAUAAAAGUGACGGAGCUUUAUGUGCAGUCAUCACUUCAAACCUGUCAGAGGAUGUACUUCCUGAGGCAGCUGAAGAAAUUCAACCUGCCAACACGGACGAUGAUGCAGUUCUACACUGCAAUCAUCGAGUCCAUCCUCACCUCCUCCAUCACCGUGUGGUACGCUGGAGCCACUAUCAGGGACAAACAGAGACUGCAGCGUGUUGUGCGCUCUGCUGAGAAGCGGACAUAUUCAACAGCACAUGUUCAAGGUUUAUCAAGAGCUGUGUUCAUCGCGAACGCAUGUCUUUAUCCUGUCUUCCUUCUCUCACCCCAACCAAUCACAGCAGAUGGCCCCGCCCCUCCCUGAGCCUGGUUCUGCUGGAGGUUUCUUCCUGUUAAAAGGGAGUUUUUCCUUCCCACUGUCGCCAAAGUGCUGCUCACAUGUCAUUGUUGGAGUUUCUCUUUUGUCUCUUUAUUAUCAUAAGGUUCUUACUCUACAAUAUAAAGUACCCGGAGGCAACUGUUGUUGUUUUUUCUGUAUAAAUAAAAGUGAACUGAGUUGAAUGUAAUUUGGUUGAACAGGAAAUUCACAUCAUGGAUCUGGAGCAGCUGUGUGAUGAUGUCAUGUCAACAUGGACCAAAACCUCUGAGGGAUGUUUCCAGAAACUUUUUAAAUUUGUGCCACAAAUGACUAAAGCAGAAGAGAGCUCAGACUCAGCUUCACUGUCAUUCAGCCAUUUGACAUGAUAUGAAUGAAAAACAGAUUCUCUGUCCAGGACCUGGGUCUGAGCGACCCAGGGUCCAUGAGCAUUUAUGACUCUUGUUAUAUGAUAUGUGUUUGUUUCUGCAUUGUGCUGCUGUUCCUGUGUCUAUGAUGUUGGAGACCUCACCUGCUCAACCGCCUGCCAUAACCACGCCACCAUCACUUUACCUACCUGUUGCUGCUGCAUCACCGUCCAAUCUACCCCCAGUGGCUGCUACACCACCAUCAUUUCCACUGCCUGCAGCUGCCACACCAGCACGGCCUGCGUGUCACAAACCACCUGCAGUGCUUCGCCAUGGGCCAUCGGAGCUCUUACGUGGCUGGACCUACUACAAGGCUGUCAUCAGAUCACUGGCCGGCCACCAGAACUGCUAUGCCACAGCUGCCAGACCUGUGGCAGGCCGCUCGAGCUGUUUUCCUGCCGUCACCGUCCAUCGGGCCAGCUGCCAAAACUGUGGCAGAACUGUGGUUGAUUUUUUCAGUUUUUUGGGGACUGUUUUGACAGCGCUGCUGGACGUGCGGUCGGACUUUGAAACCGUUGGGAUUAGGGGCUCUGUUUGCUAGAGGAUUUUGUUUUUGCACGGAGAGUGCGGAGACUCGGGAGCAGAGUACAGACACUUGGGAGAAGGCGCGACACGGGAGUCGUGGGAGCGCACUGGAGAUUUGUUGUGUGUUACAUUUACUUCACUGUAAAUCAACGCACUGUUUACUGCACAGAGUCCAGCAUUUAGGUCCUUUCUCCCCCACAGUCUGCCACACAGACCGUGACAUUCUCAGGUCUCAGUAUUGCAGCAUGCUACCAAACAACGAGUAAAACAUUACAAAUAACUACAAUUAAUAGAACAAGAAAUUCUCAAAAAUAAGUACUGAAAUAUGCAAAAACAUAAAUAACAAUC